GCCUCGUUAACGCAGCAGGUAGCGCGUCAGUCUCAUAAUCUGUAAGGUCGUGAGUUCGAUCCUCACACGGGGCA
Non-coding RNA from Bufo bufo (common toad), 74 nucleotides. Lineage: Eukaryota; Metazoa; Chordata; Amphibia; Anura; Bufonidae. The record is from the annotation of a RefSeq genome assembly.